Molecule: ribosomal RNA, 500 nt
Filed under: uncultured bacterium
Lineage: Bacteria
Description: bacterial SSU rRNA
Rfam family: Bacterial small subunit ribosomal RNA
Source: RNAcentral
CACGUGAGUACGAGUUUGAUCAGUGGCUACGAGGACGAACGCUGGCGGCGUGCCUAACACAUGCAAGUCGAACGGGGCAGAGAGCUUCGGUUUUCUGCUUAGUGGCGAACGGGUGAGUAACGCGUGAGGAACCUGCCUUUCAGUGGGGGACAACAGUUGGAAACGACUGCUAAUACCGCAUAACAUAUCGAGAUCGCAUGAUAUUGAUAUCAAAGGAGCAAUCCGCUUGAAGAUGGACUCGCGUCUGAUUAGCUAGUUGGUGGGGUAACGGCCCACCAAGGCGACGAUCAGUAGCCGGACUGAGAGGUUGAACGGCCACAUUGGAACUGAGAUACGGUCCAGACUCCUACGGGAGGCAGCAGUGGGGAAUAUUGGGCAAUGGGCGAAAGCCUGACCCAGCGACGCCGCGUGAGGGAAGAAGGUCUUCGGAUUGUAAACCUUUGUAGACAGGGAAGAAGAAAGUGACGGUACCUGUAAAGUAAGCCACGGCUAACUACGUG